Phyllostomus hastatus (greater spear-nosed bat) is the source of this 1701-nucleotide long non-coding RNA. RefSeq lists it as uncharacterized. The record is from RefSeq and is a predicted model, not a curated record. Lineage: Eukaryota; Metazoa; Chordata; Mammalia; Chiroptera; Phyllostomidae. The transcript is spliced from 4 exons.
GCACUCAAUCCACUGAGCCACACCAGCCAGAGCAGAAACAUCUUUUUUUGUUGUUGCACUUACUCACUCAUUGGUUGCUGCUUGUGCGGGCCCUGACCUGGGCUGGAACUGGAAACCUUGGCGCGUGGGGAGGAUGCACCAGCCAACUGAGCUGAGCCGCCCGGCCAGGGCUGGUGUUUGCGUCUCAUGAGUGACCGCGCUUCAGUCUGAGGAGCCCGGUGCUCAAUCCACUGAGCUGCGCCAGCCAGGGCGGGUCUGUGGUUUUCAAACAGGCUCCACCAGCCACGUGGGAGGGAGGACAAGGGCCCGGAGCCCCUCUCCAACAUCCCGCCCCUGCAGAGUGUGCGUGUUUUUAAACCACUGGAAUAUCCUUCUUGAGGAAGCGCUACUGAGUCAUUCAAAGUAUUCUUGCUUCUUGGCCAAGACAAUUCCAUCCAGAUGCCAAAGUUCUGAAGUGUGACUUAAUCUGAACCAUCGCGCUCUCCGUACAUGAGCGGCCCCAGCUGAUGCAGGAGCCUUCUGGGAUGGACCGGCCCUUCCUCCGCUCUGGACGCUGCAGCUCAGAGCCGUCUGGUGACUGGCCCACUGCCGCCCAGCCUGCCUCACCCCGAGCGGCCCAGGGCUCAGAUUUCAGAAAGCAGGUUCUCUGACUCUUUACAGUCUACUUCCCCUUGCUGUGUCACUGCCCGAGAAGGAGCAGUGUCCACGGACCGUCCUUAUGGGGAGGAACAGCUUACACACGUGUUCACAUCGCAAACUGGCUGCUGCCGUCUUCGUCUGGAGGGACUGUCCUGCAUGUCUGUUUACAUAUUUUACGUAGUGUAAUCUUCUCUCCCCUUUUUCAUCUUCAGAUCAGCAGAACUCAGAGAAAACUGGAUUUCCUUCCUUCAGAGAGCAGUGGCCCCACACCAUCUCCCUCUUCUCAGCGGAAGCCCACAGACUACUCUGCUCACACGGAGCUGCCUGCUCCCACGGACCCUGGCUGCUCCUGCACGUGAUGCGCUCAGACGGACAGGCACGUCUGCUUGUACGAGGACGUUCUGGUCUCACUCCCAUCUCUCCCUCUCCCGCCUCUGCAGGAGAGCCUCAGUCAUCCCCAACACCCGAAACAUUUCCCUGCAGGCAGGUUCAACUCCCUAACGCGCGCGGUGCAGACUGCGCGGUAAGGAGGUGACGAGCAGGUGAUGAGCCUGCCAGGAGCUGCGGGAGGGGCUGCGGGAGGAGCCCCGCAGGCUGGAGAAGACCCCUCGGGCAGAGCAGAAGGAACCUGCUGGUGCGUGUCAGAGGACGGAGGGUCUGCCUUCUCGGCACGCAUCAGGUGGGUUGCGAGGGGUGGCGCCAGGUCUGGAAACAGCGAAGGGAAGCACGACUUUCCGGCUUCGAGAGACAUCUGGGGUGGCGCCGGCUCUGGAGGAAGCGUGACCCCUCUGGCGAUGGACGUGCCCAAGUGCACGGGAAGAAACCGUACCAGCACCAAAAGAGUUGGGCCCCAUUUACAUUGUUUUCAAAACUAAUUUGCCAUUCACAGUUUAGCAACUCCUCCCCGUAGAAAACCUUCCUUCGGUGAAGACGUGGUAAGGAGACCAGGUGCUUCCCAGGGUUCCUCCGCGCUCCUCUUCCCCCGCCCUGCCCGAGCACAGAGACUCCUCGGAAUCACAGCCCCCCACCCCCACCCCCACCCCCACCCAAAGAGUACACCAA